GACGAACGCUGGCGGCGUGCUUAACACAUGCAAGUCGAACGGUGAAGCGCCUUCCUUUUUGGUGGGUGUGGAUGAGUGGCGAACGGGUGAGUAACACGUGAGUAACCUGCCCCCUUCUUCUGGAUAACCGCAUGAAAGUGUGGCUAAUACGGGAUAUUCUGGGUCUGUCGCAUGAUGGGUCUGGGAAAGAUAUUGUUUCGGUGGGGGAUGGGCUCGCGGCCUAUCAGCUUGUUGGUGGGGUGAUGGCCUACCAAGGCGGUGACGGGUAGCCGGCCUGAGAGGGUGGACGGUCACACUGGGACUGAGACACGGCCCAGACUCCUACGGGAGGCAGCAGUGGGGACUAUUGGACAAUGGGCGCAAGCCUGAUGCAGCGACGCCGCGUGAGGGAUGGAGGCCUUCGGGUUGUGAACCUCUUUCGCCAGUGAAGCAGGCCUGCCUUGUUUGUGGGUGGGUUGACGGUAGCUGGAUAAGAAGCGCCGGCUAACUACGUG
RNAcentral lists this ribosomal RNA (494 nucleotides) under uncultured bacterium. RNAcentral's name for it is "partial 16S ribosomal RNA". It matches the Rfam family "Bacterial small subunit ribosomal RNA", at positions 28 to 507 of the family's 1533-position model. The record is from RNAcentral.